UCAAAUCAGUCGCAAGUUCCUUUCCGAGGGGAAAACCCAACCUCUCAAGGUUCUCCACAUACCCAAACAUCUUGAGCACAUGGGGACCUACAGGGGCUCUCUCAGCUAACUUGCCCUGAAAAAGGGCUUUUGAAACUUCAAACCUUUCAUGCCUUGCCGACUCUUGAUAGCGCAUCUUCAGGUGUUCGAUCAUAUCGAACGCUGCCAUGUUCUCAUGUUGCUUUUGCCGAAUCUUGGUACUCACACUUCCCACUCUGUCUUUUUUCUCUCACCUCACGUUUCCCUCACUCUACACGCCACCUACCUACACUCUAAAACGUCUCUCUCAACCCACUGUGCAAGGAAAAGAGGAGAGAAAAAACUUUUCUGACUCUCCCACUCACUAAAGUUUUUCUGCAUAAAAAUGGAAUGGACAACAUCAAAAAUUGGAUUCACCUCCUUUAAUUUCUCAGCCACGCCUCAAACUUUUCAUUCUUCUUCCUUUACUCUCUCCUUCAAUCCUCCGAACAUCACCUAGCCAACAUCCAAACCACAAAUGCGCUUCCUCGACUCACCUUUAAAACUUCUUCGACACAGUCCACCAUUCCGGCGGUGAAAACACACCGGAUCUGCAACUUCCAUCCGCCGACCACUACACAACACAUCACCUCUUCCGAUUUUCUUCAACUUCGCUCUCCUUCCAACCGCGCCUCCGCCGCCGCCGUCAACAAACCCUUCACCUUUCACCACUGCGAAAGUCGCCGCGUCUGCCGCUCCUCCGACGAUUCGACAUUUCCGGACACCCUUCCGAACACUCGCUCACCUCACAACCAAACACACAACAACGAAAUCGUAACAACCAUCAUCGCGACGCCACCACACUACGACAACGCCUUCCGUUCUCCGUCGCUUCAAUCACCGGCAAACUCACCUCGAUUCGCAUAUAAGCUAUCACCAACAACGAAACUCCAUCAUUGAAACGGCCAUUAAACUUCAAGCCGAGAUUUCGAAGCUUCACCGCACAGGAUCUUGGUGUCUAUUUGGUGUUUUCGUUAAAUCUUGUUCUUUUUCAUCUUGUGUUGUUGAUUUUUCAGGAUUCGACCCUCGAUUCUAUGAUUCAGACAAAGUAGUUUCGGCAUGUCAUUAUGGUGAUGUUUAGUGUUGCUGCUCCAAAUGAGUUUGAGUUGUUGUCUACGACACUAGUUGUUUUUUGGAUCAGUGAUGACAUAUCCAUUGUUACGGUACAAAUCAAUUUAAAUUUGUGGCAUAACUUUGAAUCUUUCAUUUUCAUAACAGUACUGGACAUAUUUGGGAUAGGUUGUGUUUGGGGUAAUUUUUCGGUUCCAUCUUAGAUAUGUAUUCAUUUUGCUUUGAACUCUGCAA
Long non-coding RNA from Lathyrus oleraceus (garden pea), 1362 nucleotides. RefSeq lists it as uncharacterized. The transcript is spliced from 2 exons. The record is from RefSeq and is a predicted model, not a curated record. NCBI's taxonomy places the organism in Eukaryota, Viridiplantae, Streptophyta, Magnoliopsida, Fabales, Fabaceae.